UACGAAGGGGGCUAGCGUUGUUCGGAUUUACUGGGCGUAAAGCGCACGUAGGCGGAUCGUUAAGUCGGGGGUGAAAUCCUGGAGCUCAACUCCAGAACUGCCUUCGAUACUGGCGAUCUUGAGUCCGGAAGAGGUGAGUGGAACUCCUAGUGUAGAGGUGGAAUUCGUAGAUAUUAGGAAGAACACCAGUGGCGAAGGCGGCUCACUGGCCCGGUACUGACGCUGAGGUGCGAAAGCGUGGGGAGCAAACAGGG
RNAcentral lists this ribosomal RNA (254 nucleotides) under uncultured bacterium. RNAcentral describes it as "partial 16S ribosomal RNA". It matches the Rfam family "Bacterial small subunit ribosomal RNA", at positions 524 to 777 of the family's 1533-position model. The record is from RNAcentral.